Molecule: ribosomal RNA, 253 nt
Filed under: uncultured bacterium
Lineage: Bacteria
Description: partial 16S ribosomal RNA
Rfam family: Bacterial small subunit ribosomal RNA
Source: RNAcentral
UACAGAGGUGGCAAGCGUUGUUCGGAAUUACUGGGCGUAAAGGGCGCGUAGGCGGCCAUCUAAGUCAGACGUGAAAUCCCCAGGCUUAACCUGGGAACUGCGUCUGAUACUGGAAGGCUCGAGUUUGGGAGAGGGAUGUGGAAUUCCAGGUGUAGCGGUGAAAUGCGUAGAUAUCUGGAGGAACACCGGUGGCGAAGGCGGCAUCCUGGACCAACACUGACGCUGAGGCGCGAAAGCUAGGGGAGCAAACGGG